UGGGGAAUUUUGGACAAUGGGCGAAAGCCUGAUCCAGCAAUGCCGCGUGUGUGAAGAAGGCCUUCGGGUUGUAAAGCACUUUUGUCCGGAAAGAAAUCCUUGGCUCUAAUACAGUCGGGGGAUGACGGUACCGGAAGAAUAAGCACCGGCUAACUACGUGCCAGCAGCCGCGGUAAUACGUAGGGUGCAAGCGUUAAUCGGAAUUACUGGGCGUAAAGCGUGCGCAGGCGGUUUGCUAAGACCGAUGUGAAAUCCCCGGGCUCAACCUGGGAACUGCAUUGGUGACUGGCAGGCUAGAGUAUGGCAGAGGGGGGUUAGAAUUCCACGUGUAGCAGUGAAAUGCGUAGAGAUGUGGAGGAAUACCGAUGGCGAAGGCAGCCCCCUGGGCCAAUACUGACGCUCAUGCACGAAAGCGUGGGGGAGCAAACAGGAUUAGAUACCCCUGGUAGUCCACGCCCUAAAACGAUGUCAACUAGGUUGUUGGGGAUUCAUUUCCUUAGUAACGUAGCUAACGCGUGAGUUGACC
Molecule: ribosomal RNA, 526 nt
Filed under: uncultured bacterium
Lineage: Bacteria
Description: partial 16S ribosomal RNA
Rfam family: Bacterial small subunit ribosomal RNA
Source: RNAcentral